This 252-nucleotide ribosomal RNA is filed under the name uncultured bacterium. Its description in RNAcentral is "partial 16S ribosomal RNA". It matches the Rfam family "Bacterial small subunit ribosomal RNA", at positions 524 to 776 of the family's 1533-position model. The record is from RNAcentral.
UACGUAGGUGGCAAGCGUUGUCCGGAAUUACUGGGUGUAAAGGGAGAGUAGGCGGGAUUGCAAGUCCGUUGUUAAAUCUAUCGGCUUAACCGGUAGCUGCGGCGGAAACUGUAGUUCUUGAGUGAAGUAGAGGCAGGCGGAAUUCCUAGUGUAGCGGUGAAAUGCGUAGAUAUUAGGAGGAACACCAGUGGCGAAGGCGGCCUGCUGGGCUUUAACUGACGCUGAGGCUCGAAAGUGUGGGGAGCAAACAGG